Molecule: long non-coding RNA, 7510 nt
Organism: Hypanus sabinus (Atlantic stingray)
Lineage: Eukaryota; Metazoa; Chordata; Chondrichthyes; Myliobatiformes; Dasyatidae
Exons: 8
Source: RefSeq, a predicted model, not a curated record
CAUGGGUUCUUGAGCACUUGUAUUUAGUACAGUAAUCAUUAUCUCAACUACAGCUGCUGUUAAACUCUCGUACUUUCAGUUCAAUCUGGUCAAGCUAACUGUGAUUGGCAUGUGUUUCCUGCAUUCUAUGAUUAUUUAAAGAGGACUUUUCGUCAGCGCCUUAGUAAAGAGAGAAAGAACUUCCACUUACACGGUGAAUAUUACUGCUUUUGGAGUCCAGCCACCUCAUUGAUCAGCAGCAACACUAAGUACAUCAAGAUCCCACACCAGAAUAGAAAACACUGAGUACCAUUGUUUUAAUCUCAAUUUGUCGGCAAGUGCCCCUGAGCUCAAGCUGCAGAGAAUCAAUAAGGAAAAGUCUGGAAGCAUCUAUGAUGAUGAAUGUCCUGAAUCAUGCUGAAGCUGACUCAGUCCCCAUUUGCUCCACAUCAUUCAUUCCAUCUGAUGGCAAGAGAAAACAUUGGAUGCAUCCCUACAGAGCAAACAGCUUGGCAUCAAUGAACACAAAGGCUUUAAACCUUUCUUGGAUGAGGGCAAGUCUGUGGAUGCUGGUAACAAUGAUAGAUUACCACCACAGAUAAAGAUGCCAGCCCCUGCAUGUUUCACAGAUGUUCUCACUGCCUCACCAAAACCAUAAUGGUAAAUUAUGUGGAUGGAUAGAGGUAGAGCACAGUAAAAGGCUCUUCUGGCUCAAUAUGUCCAUUCUAUCCAACUAAACCCAUGUGACCAACUAAACUACUAACUCCUUAUGUGUUUGGAAUAUGGACAUAAACGAGGAGACCCAGAGGAAACCCAUGCUGAUGCACAGAGAAUGUACAAAGUUUUUACAGAGAGCAACUGGAAUUGAAACUAUGUUGCUGGUGCUUUAACGGCAUUACACUAAUCUCCCAUACUGCCAUGCCAUCCCUACUUUACGUCAAAUGCAAACAGCCCCUGCAACCUUCAGAGCCAUGUUUAACUGAAUGACUGAGUCUGUGUGGAUGUCUUUUUUCUGACAAGUACACACUCAGCAAAACAAAUGGGCAGAAUGUGAGGGAAAAUAUCCUUAUGAGUUACCACAAAUUAAUGCUAUUAUUGCUCACUAAUAUGGGAAAGAAAUUUGAUUUUUAAUGAACUGUAUGUUGUUGAGACAACUGAUAAAGCUUAAAUUAAAUGCAGAUUUUAGACUAGGCAUAUUCUGAGAAUGUGAAUCAAUUAGAUAGUUAAUUAUGACAAAGCACAGAUAUUUUCUCUCUUCUUAACUAAACAGAGAAUGUCAUUCCCUGUAGUGUAAACAAAAGAGCCAGAAAAGCUGAAGUAACACCAAAUAUAUUGACUGUCCAGUUGUGAAAUGUUCGGAUCAAAAUGAACUGCUGUGAUUUAUAAAUGUAAAUUAUUUUUAUUUCAAGUAAAAAUGUUCCCUUCUACUCUUUCUUCCACACUUUUCAGCAUAAAUUUCUUUCCUUGUCAUCAUAGAAAUCUAAAUCCAAUUAUCAUUGCCUUAUUAAUGGUUACUGUUUGUUUGGUCAUGCUUCUUGUCUAUUGGUGCUGACAGCUGAGGUUUCCAACUGUUGUUUAUCCAGUAGUGAAUUGAAUUUUGAAUCAUUUAUAUUUUAAUUGAAUUUGUUACUUCACAGGAGCUGACCAUUUACACAGCAGUGAACAAUGAUAGCUGAAUCUGGAGCAGGCUCUUUCAGGUCAGAUCUGCAGACAUGUCACUCAGUCCCUCCAGUUUUAUUACCUCCUGACAUAUGACACUGUAGUGGAUUUUCAGUGGCCCCAAUCUACCACUUAUGAGACACUGAAAAUCAUGCUCACCGGACGGCCAUUUUAACACCUGCAAAUGCCUGAAUCCAUUUAAAAGUUACCUAACCACCUGGGUCACUGUCAAAUCUCUCUGGGGUGGGUAGAUAUACUGGCUCCAGAGUGGGACCAACUGUUUCUCCUAAGCAUCUUCAAUCUCCUUCUUGCAAAGGUUGACCCAUGGCUACCUGGAAGUCAUGUAUUUCCAUGCUUUGUCAGAAAAUAUCUUUGCUGUGGCUGGUACUGGGACCAUACUGGCUCAACCAUACCGCAACAAGAGUCCUUGACGAGAGUGGCUUGGAUACAAAUGCUGGAGUAUCCGAGGCUCGGAUCGAUAAACAGUCUCAAACUGGAUCGGGAAUCUGAGCACAAAGCAAACAAUAGCCAAAAUCACAAGUAGGCUUGGGGUUGAGCACAGAAGUGUUCCUUAAAUAUUCAAUCCGUGGCCCCCAAAACACGAUUGCCAAUUAACGGGAUUGUCCUGAAUCUUUAAAGGGGCUGCGCUAGCCAUCCAUACUCUGGGGAGUUAGAGUGCAUCUAAACCUCAGAAGCUGUCAUAGAUGGGUGCAUGUCAUUACAGUCAGAUGAUGUCGUCAAUGAGGAAACCAAGAGGAGAGAUCAGAUCGUAAAGGGAGCAAUAGAAGGGUCAAUAAAAGAAUACUCCGGUGAACUAGAUGCAUCUUUAUAGGAUCAUGAAGCUCAAAACUGAAGAAGAAAAGGGAAGGAGAAAGGUAGCCACCACUGUCAGAAUCACUUCCUGCAAUCUCAGAGUAAACUCAUAUGACCACCAUGGAGGAGACCUCAGAACCUAAGAUUAUUUUAAACACACAAGUCUCACCUGCCAAGCAGAGUGAUUGCCGUUGUCCAGAAAGAUGAUAUCCCACAAGAGCAAGAAAUCCCCCACAACAAUGAAAUCUUUAGGCCCGAUGGGACAAUUUAACAUAUACUAUGCUGUGGAUGUCUGUAUAAAGAUGUUGCAUUAUAUAGUAUACAGUGUAUAUACUUUGUAUUUGAGAUGUAUUCUAUAUUGAGUUGGAGUUUAUAGCUAAGCGGGGAGGAAUGUUGUGUACUUAAUAUUUCAAUAGUAUUCUAGUAAUCUUGUGUAUAUAUAUUGAUUGAUUAAGCAUUCUUGUUUGUUUAAAUAAUUCAUUACGAGUUAUAUUUAUAAAUACGUGAAUUGCAUGUGUCAGCACACUACCAUGUGAUAUGCAUGUGCCUCACUUAAAAUAAACACAAAGUUAGACAUGUAUCACACACAAAAUGCUGGUGGAACACAGCUGGCACAAGGCAGCAUUCCACCUGCAUUUUAUGUGUGUUGCUUGAAUUUCCAGCAUCUGCAGAUUUCCUCGUGUUUGCAUUAGACAUGCAUUGCUGGACUCCCACAUCUUCCUGUGAAUUAGUUUAAUGUUUUGAAGUUACAAAACAUACCAGAAUGUUUCUGUCCUGAUGGAGGGUCUCUAACCAAAACAUUGACUGUUUAUUCCCCUGCAUAGACCUGCCUGACUUGACCUCCAACCUGUUGUGUGUUGCUCUAGAAAUAUACAGAGCAAGACCCAAUCGGAUUCAAGGAUGAAUGGAAGUAAAGGCCUUUUCAAGGAGAUCCAGUACUGCACUCUGUCAAUUUGGACCUCUCUGUAUGGAUUGUGUUAGAAUAUUCACCGCUGGAGAACAGAUAAAGAAAAAUGGCUGAGGAGGACGGGGAGGAGCCAUUGAGAAAGGCCCAGAAAAUAUUAAGAACAACAGAUGAUUUUGAUGGCCGGUUGGAGUACACCUCAAUUUCAUAAUGUGAACCUUACCCAGAUCAUCAUCGAGAUCAAGUUCAGCAUUGUUUCCUGAAGGAGACAUAUGGACGCAGUUGAAAAGGACAGAAACUACUUGGGCCUUGGAAUCUGCCACCAGAGUCUUAGAAACUGGUGUUUGCGGAAUGUCCAGCAUAGCAAACAUUAACUCAUGGAUUCACAAAAGUUUUGGAACACUAUGUCCUGCAGAUAAAACAUAACACUGCUUUCUCCAUGUAACAAGAACAGUUAGUCCUGACGAAGGGUCCCGGCCCGAAAUGUCAACUGUACUUCUCCCUAUAGAUGCUGCCUGGCCAACUGUGUUCCACCAGCAUUUUGUGUGUAUCGCUUGAAUUUCCAGCAUCUGCAGACUUCCUCGAACUUGCAGUUUGAUGCUUUUCCUUGUGGUGCCUGAUGAUGUGAUGAUCAUUCACUAAAUGAUUCCAGGCAGAGAAAGCAAACCAGUAGAAAGAGGAAAGGAUGUCUCAAAGUCCCGAAGUUUCCUGAGAAACUGCAACUAUUGGGAAACCUAAAAAGAUGAAAGCGAAUGAGAAAUUAUUUCAGUCAGGAAGAAAUGCAGUAUAUUCUCUACAGAUUGUAUUUGAAAAUAAGAGCGGUUGUGGCAAUUCCUUGUGCCUUCACAUUUAUGUGUUUAUAUUAUCCUCAAAGCUCUUUGAGCAUGGUAUACAAGAAUUUAAUAUAGGUCCUCCCCAGCAACUGAAUGCCCGUCUUACAUACAGCACAUACAUACUGUACAAAUAAGGAUUUGGAAAUCAGCGGGUUGGAUUUGCCAGCUGCUGAGAUGCUGUAGGCAUCUUCUGCCAAGUGGGAAUUAAUUUCCUGUUUCUGAACUAUUUGGGUUAGGGAACCCCGCCAUUACAUGGAAAUGACCUAUAGAAUGUCAGACUUUCAAAGAUGGAAAAGGCACCCAAGAAACACUAACAGUUGCUCAGUUUUCCAUGACCCAAUUCUCAUUGUCAUUUUAAAAUCCCUUCCUGGAUUUGGACUUGGCUUUCUCUGGCUCUGUCUUCUUCAUUGUUAAACUCCAAAUGGAUUAUGUUUCUUUGAUCUUGCCCUUUUUGCAUUCCCCUAUUCCUUCAUUCAACAACUGAUAAGUUUAUGACAUGUUUUGAGGAAAUAAUGGCCAGAUGUGGUGAUCUCUAACGUAAUUAGAAACUUACCUUACCACAGUUCCAUUAAGCAGUAGUUCUAUCCACAAUCCUGGAAAUCAAAGUCUUGCAUUGUGGUACCUACCUCCUUGUGUAAUCUGAGUGGAUUAUGCCAUAGAACAGUUCAUAGCUCAGCCAUAGAACAGUAAAACCAAUCCCUGGCUUAUCCAACUAUCAGACUUAUCAAAAUCUGAAUUCUUCUCCAUUACCAGAAAAAUUCAAAAUAAUCAAAAACUUAGUAACAUCAAUGAAAUACUUAACACUCUUUAAAACUAUUAAACAAUACAUAAAUUUAAAAGAAAUGCUAAAAUAUACAUAACAAUAUUUAUUUAAAACACUGAGCUCAAAAAUGUAACAUACACAAAAUGCUGGAGGAACACAAUAGGUCAGAAUUCGUCUAUGCAAAUGGAUAAGGAGCCGAUGUUUCAGACCGAGACCCUUCAAUUGGAAAGGAAUGGGGAAGAAGCCAGAACAAGAAAAUGAAGAGAUGUGAAGGAAUACUUGAUAUCAGAUUCUAUCUUUUUUGGCCCUUUACUUUUUCUAGUUAUUAGCUCUCACAUUUUUACAUCAUUUUCCUUCCCCCACCCACAUAUCUUCCCCUCACCUAUCACCUUCUCCAAUGUACUUCAUUCCCACCCCCAACUUCCUGUUCUGGUUUUUUCCCCUUUCUUUCCAGUUCUGAUGAAGGGUCUUGGCCUAAAAUGUCAACUGCUUUUUCAUUUGCAUGGAUGCUGCCUGAGGUGCUGAGCUCUUCCAGCAUUCUGUGUGUGUUACUUUGGAUUUCCAGCAUCGGCAGAACCUCUUGUGUUUAACUCAAAAAAUGUGAAUAUGUUUACCGUUACUUGCAAAAGUUCCCCAUCAAUGAAAUGAAUGAGACUGUGUUCCCUUGCCAGCUUUGAACUGGCAGUGUCCCAACAGGUAGAUUCCCUCACACGAGUGCUGGGGAAUUGUCGCAACAUUGUGCUCCCCUCACCAAAGAACACAACUCCGAGGUAAAGCUGAAAAAUUUGGUGAAAUUCUGUGUUCAAUAAACUUUUAGCAUUUACCAUUAAGAUAAAGGCCAGAAUGUCAUGUAGGAAUGGGGUGGUGUUUAUUAGUUUUGACAUGCAAAGAGAACUGAGGGCUGCAGGAAGGAAUUGCCUGCUUGUCAAAGGUAAUUAUCUAUUGUCCUGUGGUUAGCCAUCAUUAUUAUGCAAAUACUAUGGAUUCAGAGAAUUGUCACAUUGAAUUAUGCAAAUCAGAUUAUUACUCACAUUUCGUGGAACAAUGGAGCAUUCCUAUGUUAAUUAAAAAAGGUGAUUAAACAAUAAGCUCUAACUGGGAUGUUCCUUGGUCAAUUAUCCUUAACCGAAAACAAUCCAAAAAUCUUGCAGCACACAGCUGCUCAGGAAGUCAAAAAGUAACCACAGCUGAAAUUCCUUGACAGGAACCUGGUAACUUGCAAUUUUGUUUUUCUCUCUUUUGUAUGAUGAGGUGAUGCUGGCAUGGUAAAUGAUUCCAGGCAAAGCCAACACUGCUGUACCAACUGCAAGAUUCAACCAAAAUCACAAAUAUGCUUCAAUGCAAUUACAGUUCAUUUGUGGUUGGAAACUUGAUUGCAAUGUAGCAGAUAUUACGGAUAAAGCAGCCUUGAUUCUACUGCAGAUAUGAUUAAUUGCACGAGGGCAAGCACAAUUUGUAGGUAUGACAAGGCGAGUAAUGUAUGCCAUUUAAUAAACUAGUAAGUGUUCACAAAAACAUAAACCUAUCUAGAUUAUCAACAUCCCAUUAUACCCAUGGCUAAUGGUUUAGAAAUGAGGAAAACAGAUCUGAUUAAUCUGAAAUGCAGGGAGCUCUUAAUGUCUGUCCAUAGCCAGAAUCAGAGCCAGGCUUAACAUCACUGGCAUAUGUCAUGAAAUUUGUUGUUUUGUCGCAGCAGUAAAGCACAAUUCAUAAUUUUUAAAAAAAUUCAUAAUUUGCAAUAAGAGCAAAAAUAAGUGAGAGUGUACAUGGGUUCAUCUGAUGGUGGAGAGGAAGAAGCUGUUCCUAAAAUGCUGGGCAUGUGUACCUCUCCUUGAUGGUAGCAAUGAGACGAAGGUAUGCCUGGGUGGUGGGGUCUUAAAUUAAGGAUGUCCCUUUUUUGAGGCAUCACCUUUUGAAGAUGCCCUUGAUGCUGGGGAAGCUAGUGCUCAUGAUGGAGCUGGCUGACUUUGAAAGAAUCUGCAGCUUUUUCUAAUCCUGUGCAGUGGCCCCUGUAUGCCAGACUGUGAUGCAACCAGUCAGUACAUCUAUAGGAAUUUGUGAGAAUCUUUGAUGCCAUACUACUUUCUUAAACUUAUAAUGUAAUAUAGUAUUGAAAGGAGGCUGGAAGAAGAUUUGGUGACAGUUUAGUUACAGGAAUCGAACACUUUUUGAGUGCUUAAUUCCUUCAUGAAACAUCUCAAGGUCAACGAAGAGUAACUAAGGGAGUGUCACCCAUCAGGAUCCUGAACCGAGGGGGAUAACUCCACUCACCUUGACACUGAACUGAUUCUACAACCUGUGGACUCACUUCCAAGGACUCUACCACUCAUGUUCUCAAUAUUUAUUAGUUAUUUGUUUAUUAUUUUUUGUACUUUUUCUAUUUUGUAUUUUAUACAAUUUGUUGUCAUUUUCACAUUGGUUAUCCAUUUUUCUUCAUGCUCAGUUGAUAAUUGAUUAUCGAGUUUCUUUGUAUUUACUGUGAAUGCCCACAAAAAUAUAAUUUCAUGGUAGUAUAUGGUUACUUGUGUAACUUUGUUAAUAAACUUACUUUGAUCUUUG